Molecule: ribosomal RNA, 253 nt
Filed under: uncultured bacterium
Lineage: Bacteria
Description: partial 16S ribosomal RNA
Rfam family: Bacterial small subunit ribosomal RNA
Source: RNAcentral
UACGAAGGUCCCAAGCGUUGUUCGGAAUCACUGGGCGUAAAGGGAGCGUAGGCGGUUUGGUAAGUCAGAUGUGAAAUCCAGGGGCUCAACCUCUGAACUGCAUUUGAUACUGCCAGACUAGAGUAUUGGAGAGGUAAGUGGAAUUCUCGGUGUAGCAGUGAAAUGCGUGGAUAUCGAGAGGAAGACCAAUGGCGAAGGCAACUUACUGGACAAUGACUGACGCUGAGGCUCGAAGGCUAGGGGAGCGAAAGGG